RNAcentral lists this ribosomal RNA (254 nucleotides) under uncultured bacterium. RNAcentral describes it as "partial 16S ribosomal RNA". It matches the Rfam family "Bacterial small subunit ribosomal RNA", at positions 524 to 776 of the family's 1533-position model. The record is from RNAcentral.
GACAGGGGAUGCAAGCGUUACUCGGAAUUACUGGGCGUAAAGCGUCUGCAGGUGUCUCUCCACGUCUGGUGUAAAAGCACUGGAGCUCAACUCCGUGUACGUACCGGAAACGAGAGAGAUUGAGUCACUCAGAGGUAUCUGGAAUGCCGUGUGUAGGGGUAAAAUCCGUAGAUCCACGGUGGAACGCCAAAAGCGAAAGCAGGAUACUGGGAGUGCACUGACACUCAGAGACGAAAGCGUGGGGAGCAAAGGGG